This 76-nucleotide transfer RNA is filed under the name Desulfovibrio sp. Its description in RNAcentral is "tRNA-Thr". It matches the Rfam family "tRNA". From Rfam's summary of the family: Transfer RNA (tRNA) molecules are approximately 80 nucleotides in length. RNAcentral also lists the same sequence under 5 other names. The record is from RNAcentral. Lineage: Bacteria; Pseudomonadati; Thermodesulfobacteriota; Desulfovibrionia; Desulfovibrionales; Desulfovibrionaceae.
GCCAGCGUAGCUCAGCUGGCAGAGCAGCUGAUUCGUAAUCAGCAGGUCCGCGGUUCGAUUCCGCGCGCUGGCUCCA